RNAcentral lists this transfer RNA (77 nucleotides) under Porticoccaceae bacterium. RNAcentral describes it as "tRNA-Ile". The record is from RNAcentral. Lineage: Bacteria; Pseudomonadati; Pseudomonadota; Gammaproteobacteria; Cellvibrionales; Porticoccaceae.
GGGUCUGUAGCUCAGUUGGUUGAGCGCACCCCCUGAUAAGGGUGGGGGGUCGGUGGUUCAACCACCCAGACCCACCA